This 231-nucleotide ribosomal RNA is filed under the name uncultured bacterium. RNAcentral describes it as "partial 16S ribosomal RNA". It matches the Rfam family "Bacterial small subunit ribosomal RNA", at positions 99 to 334 of the family's 1533-position model. The record is from RNAcentral.
CGGACGGGUGAGUAAUGUCUGGGAAACUGCCCGAUGGAGGGGGAUAACUACUGGAAACGGUAGCUAAUACCGUAUAACGUCGCAAGACCAAAGAGGGGACCUUCGGGCCUCUUGCCAUCGGAUGUGCCCAGAUGGGAUUAGCUAGUAGGUGGGGUAAUGGCUCACCUAGGCGACGAUCCCUAGCUGGUCUGAGAGGAUGACCAGCCACACUGGAACUGAGACACGGUCCAG